GACGGGGCCCGCACAAGCGGAGGAGCAUGUGGUUUAAUUCGAUGAUACGCGAGGAACCUUACCUGGGCUCGAACGUAAGAUGACUGUAGGUGAAAGCUUACAUCUCUUCGGAGCAUUUUACGAGGUGCUGCAUGGUUGUCGUCAGCUCGUGCCGUGAGGUGUCGGGUUAAGUCCCAUAACGAGCGCAACCCUACCUUUAGUUGCCAUCAGGUAAUGCUGGGGACUCUAGAGGAACUGCCUACGCAAGUAGUGAGGAAGGCGGGGAUGACGUCAAAUCAGCACGGCCCUUACGUCCAGGGCUACACACGUGCUACAAUGGCCGAUACAGAGGGCAGCUACCUGGUGACAGGAUGCAAAUCUCCAAAGUCGGUCUCAGUUCGGAUCGGAGUCUGCAACCCGACUCCGUGAAGUUGGAUUCGCUAGUAAUCGCGCAUCAGCCAUGGCGCGGUGAAUACGUUCCCGGGCCUU
Molecule: ribosomal RNA, 468 nt
Filed under: uncultured Sphingobacteriales bacterium
Lineage: Bacteria; Pseudomonadati; Bacteroidota; Sphingobacteriia; Sphingobacteriales
Description: bacterial SSU rRNA
Rfam family: Bacterial small subunit ribosomal RNA
Source: RNAcentral